This is a long non-coding RNA of Cucumis melo (muskmelon), 694 nucleotides long. RefSeq lists it as uncharacterized. The transcript is spliced from 2 exons. The record is from RefSeq and is a predicted model, not a curated record. Lineage: Eukaryota; Viridiplantae; Streptophyta; Magnoliopsida; Cucurbitales; Cucurbitaceae.
UUUGCAGUCGGCAGAAGAUGGCUUAUAACUAUUUUAUGCUUUCAGGUUGGUGAGUUUUUUCAUCUAGCUCAAAGCAUAGCUGCAGCUCAUCAAAGAGAACUGGAAGUGCAGCAAAACGGGGAAGGAUAUAUUGACACUCCCUUAUUAUUGGAACAAGAAAUGACAACCGAUCCAACGAAACAAGUUAAACUAGGAUAUAUCAGUGGUCUAGUUCCGAGGGAAAAGUCAAUGGCUUUCAAAGCGUGGUGGCCCUGUUUCAUUCCUACAGAUUCACCCUUCUCCAGCAAAGUCUGGUACUCCUCCAGCAAAGCCUGAUAGGCAUGAUGUACUCAGAAGAUCACACCCUUUAUUGCUGAUUGUUGCAGGAGAAGAAAGCAAGGAUGUAGCUAUGGGACAAAACCAUAGUCCUAUGGGCGUCCACCCAGGAAGUUGUGUCAACUCUCACAAUGCUGUUCAGUUUUACUCCCUUAAGUCUCACUCUUAUGUGCAUGUUUUGAGAUUCAGAUCUGCUGUUUGUAUGGUUAGAUGCAGUUCUCAGAUAGUGGCCGUGGGCCUGGCUACACAAGUAAGGACCAAAAUGAAUGACAACUAUGGAUAUAGAAUUGAUUUCAUGGUAACAUCUUCUUGAUGAGUAUGUACUAACAUAGGGAAAAUGCACUUACAAAAAGUUAUGAUGAUCUACAUUUCUAUUCAA